UCUAUACAUUUGCCUCAUGACCAUCUAAUUGAUAAUGAAGACUUUAACUUCCUUAUAUUACCUCAGAAAAAAAGUUUGAAAUGUUAACCAACCACUGGACUGACCCUGGAAGGACAAAAGACUGACGAUGUUUUAUUUUGCUCAAGGGCAGCCACCCAACAUCUGCUUUUGUGACAAGUUAAAAUAAUUGUAUUGUAGAGGUAUAGGGGUAAAAAUGACCUGAAAGAUCAUCUUCUCCAACCCUCAUUUUAUAGAUGAGGAAAUUUAGGUCUCAAGCUGUGAAGCAUUUUGCCCAAGAUUACUCUGAUCAUUGCAUUCAUAUGAACUCAAGAAGCUAGAAAACAGAACCUCUGCCUCCCACUUGAUGUUCUUAUCACACCUUCAGUUCUCUUUCUUGUUUCAACAUUUUUUGCUUCACUAAAUGUAGGGAGUCUCCCAGUAGGGCCUGCCUGCUAGAGAACAGGGCGCCGAGGGAGAGAUCUCUCCUAGUUUUCAAGUCCACUAGUUUACACUGGUUUGAUUUUAUUGAAGAAGGUCAAAAGUUAGACCAAGUUUCCUAUUCCCUUUACCUCCUCAAGCUACCAAAGAAACAGAUUUGCUAAAGUUUCCCAAAUCAUUCUUUCACUCUUUUUUUUUUUUUUUUUUACAGUAAGAGCAUUACUGGCAGAAAGUUUCCCAGCAGCAUGUUCCCCCUAGAUACUGCUCCUGGACGCAGACCUGAAGGCUCGCGAGGGGCGCUCCGGACGCGGCGCGGCCCCCUUGCCCUUCCUCUGCGCGCGCGUCUUCGUGUCUCCGCGUGUAGGGCUGCAGGGCGAGGCGUGACCCAGGGUCCACGUUCUUACUGUUAAAUCCUGCCUUGGUUGUCACAGUUUUAUAUGAGAGUUGAAGCAUUUUCUCCGUGAGUUCCAGAGCAGUCUUGAAGUCAGGGGUAAGAGUUUUCUUGGUAAGUAUUAAGUAGAAGUUGCUGAAUGGCAGAGGGGUGGAAAGGGGAAGGAUGCCUUAGGAAAAAAGCCGUUUGUUCUUGCUAAUGGACUUGCUUCCAGUUCGUUUUCCAAUCUCUUCAGGAAUGAUUUUCGGCCCUCUUCCUGCAUCCUGUGUUCUGAUUCCUGGAGCGUGCACUACUCCUUCAGUUCCUUUCUCCCAGGGUCUGUUAGAAGAGUGACCUUGAAAAUAUGUGGUCUGUGGUAGACUUGGGAUUCUGGCCUCCAGAUACUUGGCUCUUUCACUCGUGAGAAACUCCUGCCUUAGGCUGACUUGAGCCUGGGUCGGCAGUGCCUGGUCCAUUUGCACACCAUCCGGGACAGAUCUCAGAUGGGGAAAAGUGGCAGACACUGAUGGUGAAAUUUGCAAUGAUACUACAGAUGUGCAACCUCCAGAGCAAGAGAUUAUGUGUGGAGACAUAUAACAGACCAUUUAAAAUCACAGAGAGAAGCUGAAGUGAGACUCUUGAGAAAAUAAGACAAGAGAAUUGAGAAAGUGUGUAGGCAAGAUGCAUACUUUAAGAAGAUCUUAAGCUUUUAUCUCAGCUGAUUCCUAGAUUCAGAGAAUGCCCAGCUAGUCAGUGGCAGACUGCUUUGGCAACAAAACAGUCUACAAAGACUGGGAAAGCUGUAUGUUUUUACAAAUGCAAAUUUUCAACCAGGAGAACUUACAUGGCAUACAAAGAAGCAUGACCAGUUCAAGUAAAAGAAAAUAAAUUAGCAGAAGCCACCUCUGAAGAAGCACAGACAUUGGACUUACUAGGAAAAGACUUUAAAGAAAUUGUCUUAAAUAUGCUCAAGUAGCUAAAGGAAAACACCAAAAAAAAUUUUUUUAAAUAGGAAAUUAUAUAUGAACAAAAUGAGAAUACCAAUAGAGAGACAGAAUUAUAAAGAGGGAUCAAAAAGAAAUUCUGGAUCUGAAAAAUACAAUAUCUGAAUUGAAAAAUUUAUCAGAUGAACUCAACAGCAGAUUUAAUAAGGCGAAAGAAGAAAUUGGCAAACUUGAUGGCAGGGCAAUUGAAAUGAGUCAAAUCUGUCAGACAGAAAGAAAAAAGAUUAAAGUGAAUAGAGUCUAAACCACUUGUGAGCCAUCAUCAAACAAACCAAUAUAGACAUUACAGGAAUCCCAUAUGAAAAAGAGAGGAAAAUUUGAAGAAAUAAUGGCUGAAACCUACCCAAAUUUAUUGAAAGACAUAACUCUAUAAAUCUAAUAAUCCCAAAAAUCUCUGUAGGAUAAAUUCAAAGAGACUUAUGCCAAGACACAUUAUAAUAUGUCAAAAGACAAAGAAUUUUGAAAGUAGCAAGAGAGAAGUAAGUCAUCAUGUACAGGGAUCUUCAAUAUAAUUAUCAGUUUAAUUAUUUCAGCAGUAAUUUUGGUGGCC
Bos taurus (domestic cattle) is the source of this 2362-nucleotide long non-coding RNA. The record is from Ensembl. NCBI's taxonomy places the organism in Eukaryota, Metazoa, Chordata, Mammalia, Artiodactyla, Bovidae.